AUGGGGGGGGGGGGGUGCCUAAUUUCCCCCAUCACCCCCCACCCCACUAUCUCACACCCAGUGCAAGAGACCCCGGGAUGCCCCCGCACAAAAAAGCACACGAGACACUGCACAGAUCAUGAGAAAAACGAAAGAAAUGCCAAGGCAGUUUAUUUACAACUGUUGUGUACAAAAAAAGGACAGCUCGUGCCACAACUAGAACAGCCCCCUCGCUCUUUGCCCAUCACCUUCUUCCGUGCUCCCCUUCCCGGCAGCCCCUCRUGCCCUGGGUGCUGCUCCCCACCUUGGACUCCUGGGCCUGGGAGAGCGUUUUGCAGCACAACGAACAAGAGAUGCUCUUUUUCUCCAGACCUGCCCAUGCUAAAUCAGUGCUUUGAAAGCCUUAUCUGGCAGUAGUGGAGACUGAGACCUCAGCUGACAUCAGAGUUAGAGACUGAUGAUGUGCCAGAGCCUAGCAGGACUGGGACCACUGCUUGCUAUCAAACGGGAGCAGAGGGGGUGUUCUUCCACCGCCCUGGCAGAAAGCAGACUUUCCACCUCUCCCGGCUAGGAGGGAUCCCACAGCAACCUCUCUGCUUUGCUCACCCUUAACCCAGCCUCCCUGGACACAAAGAUCACCCUGGGAUCACCCCAUCUGCUCAGCAGGACCCACAAAAGACCUCCUGGGCCAUUCACAACUCAGGACUACCGUUUGGUGGUGUCCCAGGCUGGGUUUCUUCUUGGCCUGGAGUCAUCAGGAGGUGCGAUCACCAUCCCCAGGGACUCCCAYACCCACCUCUCCCUUGCUCCCAGUCCUACUUUUGCUAUGGAUAUUGCCUUCUUGCACUGUCCAGAGAGGUGUCUCCACACCACCUCCUGGCUCUCCAGUCUGGGCUCCCUCAGCUGCUCUCUUCCUUUUGCUUUACCCCACUCCUUUCACUGCAGUUUCCAUAGCCCUGCUCUAUUUUUCUCUCCUGCUCUAGCUCCCCAUGGGGGUGAUUUCUCUCUUCAGAUAAUCAUCUGAGCCUCUGAAAGCAUAAGGCUUUUCAGCUGCUCUAGAGCAGAAAAGGGGAUUUCAUCCAAGAGUUCCCGGGAAGAKGUCUCAGGAGGUUUCUUACAAAAAGCAGCCCUUUGGGAAAUCACGGGGCUUUUUGACUUCACCCUUUCAAAAGGAUCCUCGGCAUCUCCUACAACUGGAUAAAGCCUUUGGAGCAAGUGAUUCUCGCUCUCCGACCACCUUAUUCCCAACCCCUUCCCCAAAACGGUGCUGCAAGGUCUGCGAGCAACUAAUGCCUGCUCUGGGCAAGAGGCAGGAGAAAAGGAGAGAGGGACACCGAGAGAUGCUGCUGCACAUCGACGGCCAGACAUCCACCGGGGGUGGGAAGGAAGAGGAGAAAGAAACAAAGCUCGAGGGCCA
This 1396-nucleotide long non-coding RNA is filed under the name Apteryx haastii (Great spotted kiwi). RNAcentral's name for it is "lncRNA (ENSAHAG00000013023.1)". The record is from RNAcentral. Lineage: Eukaryota; Metazoa; Chordata; Aves; Apterygiformes; Apterygidae.